RNAcentral lists this ribosomal RNA (466 nucleotides) under uncultured bacterium. RNAcentral's name for it is "partial 16S ribosomal RNA". It matches the Rfam family "Bacterial small subunit ribosomal RNA", at positions 28 to 507 of the family's 1533-position model. The record is from RNAcentral.
GAUGAACGCUGGCGGCGUGCUUAACACAUGCAAGUCGAACGAUGAAGCCCAGCUUGCUGGGUGGAUUAGUGGCGGACGGGUGAGUAACACGUGAGUAACCUGCCCUUGACUCUGGGAUAAGCCUGGGAAACUGGGUCUAAUACUGGAUAUGACUUCUCAUCGCAUGGUGGGGGGUGGAAAGAUUUAUUGGUCUUGGAUGGACUCGCGGCCUAUCAGCUUGUUGGUGAGGUAAUGGCUCACCAAGGCGACGACGGGUAGCCGGCCUGAGAGGGUGACCGGCCACACUGGGACUGAGACACGGCCCAGACUCCUACGGGAGGCAGCAGUGGGGAAUAUUGCACAAUGGGCGCAAGCCUGAUGCAGCGACGCCGCGCGAGGGAUGACGGCCUUCGGGUUGUAAACCUCUUUCAGUAGGGAAGAAGCGAGAGUGACGGUACCUGCAGAAGAAGCGCCGGCUAACUACGUG